This 721-nucleotide long non-coding RNA is filed under the name Columba livia (rock pigeon). RNAcentral describes it as "partial uncharacterized LOC102097538". Lineage: Eukaryota; Metazoa; Chordata; Aves; Columbiformes; Columbidae. The record is from RNAcentral.
UGGUGAGCCCCUGGCCUGGCCCUCCUGCCGUCCCUGCAGGGCCCUCCCGGCCCAGUCGUGGCCCUGAGGGGGACCCCGGGCCAGCGCACCCCGUGUCUGGGCUCCUUCACACCCCUCCUGCCCCACGCACCCUUGGUUGUGCUGCUGCUUGGAGCACAUGGCGAAUUCCCCCCAAAACGUGGGCAAAUUCCCCUGCUACUGGGGAAAAGGAGUUCAGUUUGCAGACGUGUAGCCAGGGGUCUUCACUGGAAGUGGCUGCUUGAGCAUCUGGGAGGAUCCGAUCUCCAAGCGCCAGCCACGGGCUGUCCAGGUGUUUGCAGCAAUGUGUCUCCUAGGAAAGGGAAGAGGGAGAGAGAAGUUCCUUGGACUGCAUGGCACCUCCAUAAAGCAGCACCUCCAUAAAACAUCACCUUCACUCGGAGCUGGGACCCGCAGACAACAUGAUCGCUCUCAUCUGCCUUGGCCCUGGUGUAGAAGUAAUUCUGAGGUUUGGGAAGAGGAAAGUCUGUGCUAACCUGACGCUGCAGCACCACAUGCUGGAACCUGUGCAGAGGAUCCUGCACUUGGAACUCAUCCUGAAAGAUUACAUCUGAAAACUACCUCCUGAGUCCCUGGACCGGGACGAUGCACAGAUCCCCUGGCCACGCCGCAGUGAUGGUCAAGCGGAGCAGUUUGGCCUCCCGCCUCCCGGCGCAGAAAGCGAAACCCUGUGGAGAAGUCA